UACGGGGGGAGCAAGCGUUGUUCGGAUUUACUGGCGUAAAGGGCGCGUAGGCGGUCAGCACAAGUCAGUUGUGAAAUCUCCGGGCUUAACUCGGAAAGGUCAACUGAUACUGUGCGACUAGAGUGCGGAAGGGGCAACUGGAAUUCUCGGUGUAGCGGUGAAAUGCGUAGAUAUCGAGAGGAACACCUGCGGCGAAGGCGGGUUGCUGGGCUGACACUGACGCUGAUGCGCGAAAGCCAGGGAGCGAAGCGGG
Molecule: ribosomal RNA, 253 nt
Filed under: uncultured bacterium
Lineage: Bacteria
Description: partial 16S ribosomal RNA
Rfam family: Bacterial small subunit ribosomal RNA
Source: RNAcentral